AUUGAACGCUGGCGGCAUGCUUUACACAUGCAAGUCGAACGGCAGCGCGGGCUUCGGCCUGGCGGCGAGUGGCGAACGGGUGAGUAAUACAUCGGAACGUGCCCAGUAGUGGGGGAUAGCUCGGCGAAAGCCGGAUUAAUACCGCAUACGACCUGAGGGUGAAAGCGGGGGAUCUUCGGACCUCGCGCUAUUGGAGCGUCCGAUGGCAGAUUAGCUAGUUGGUGGGGUAAAGGCCUACCAAGGCGACGAUCUGUAGCUGGUCUGAGAGGACGACCAGCCACACUGGGACUGAGACACGGCCCAGACUCCUACGGGAGGCAGCAGUGGGGAAUUUUGGACAAUGGGCGAAAGCCUGAUCCAGCAAUGCCGCGUGUGUGAUGAAGGCCUUCGGGUUGUAAAGCACUUUUGGCGGGAACGAAAAGGACUGUGCCAAUACCACGGUUCGAUGACGGUACCCGAAGAAUAAGCACCGGCUAACUACGUG
Molecule: ribosomal RNA, 484 nt
Filed under: uncultured bacterium
Lineage: Bacteria
Description: partial 16S ribosomal RNA
Rfam family: Bacterial small subunit ribosomal RNA
Source: RNAcentral